AAGGUCCUUCGGCAAAUGGACAAAGUGUAUACAGAAAUCGAGUGAUUAUGUCAAAAAAUGAUGUAUGUCUUUUUUGACAAUUGCUUAAAAUAAAUUCUACACCGACAGAGCGGGCUGUUAAUCUAGAGGCUGGAGUACAAAGAAGUGGCACAAUGAUGUGGGCUGAUGACAUUUAUAAUUAUCAAGGAAUCACCCCUACAUUCGCUCAGAAUUUUAAUGAAACUGUCCCUUGGGAAGGAAGAACUGAUACCUUGAUAUCACGGUUUGUACAUCCUAUAUAUACGACAAAUUUUAGAACAUUAUAUAACGAAGAACCAGAUCGUCGUGGCCAUGUGAUGUGAAUAAAAGGACUUGAAUUUGAUGAUAUUUUUAUAAUGUUAGAUAACAUAACUAAGUAUCUUCACAGUAAGAUAGGAUGACAUGGUUUACAUGAUCUUAAUGUUGUUCACUCGAGUGAUGAUAUUAUAAGGAAAAGUGUAAUAUCACAGGUAGGAUGAUUCAUAAUUUAGAACUACUAACUCAUGUAUGUAUUAAAAAUUAAAGAAAUAUAUUAAAUUUUAUAGGAUAUUUAUGUUUAGUAACCAGUAAUUCAGAGAUUGGUAUUCAUGGUUACUAUAACGAGGCUGUAGAAACGCACCCUUUCUUCUUUGCAAAUGGUCCUGUAUUUAUGUCUAAGCCGAAACUGGAACCUCUGAAUAAUUUAGAUUUAUUCUUGUUAUUUUCUAAAAUACUUAUCUACAGUAUACCAUAAGGAAUGAUACCGUAUCGCACCUAAUCAAGUGCCUUAAGAAACAUCAACAGGAUAUCACAGUAAUCCCUUAUCGACUGAUAUUUGUAGCCACUACAAUAUCUAUGACACUGGUAGUAAUUAUAAGAACAAUAAUGAUGUUCUAUAAGAGGAAAUGAUGAUUAGGAACAAAAACUUACAGGAGAUAUCAUGCGGUGGAUGGAUAAUAUGUAAAAAAUAUUAAGCAGUAUAUGAAUUUUCAUAUUGCGUAGAGAUAACAAAAUGAAUUUUAAAAAAUGUCGACAUGGUAAUAAGAAAUAGCAUCAUGACAAAGAAUAUAUAAACACAGUUUCAUUUUUUAUAAAUAAAAAUUUGUUGUUCCAGAUUUUGAAAUAUAGUGAAACGUUUAAUUAGUAUCUAAUAUCUUUAAAUAAUUAUUAUUUUAGAAUCAAUUGUAAUUGUAUCAUACGUACUUUUGAAUUCGUGCAAGAACAUAUGUUAUUUUGAAGUAGUUAUUAUUAGGAAAUUGUUAGACGCGAACAGUAUGCGAAAAGUUAGUAUGUAGUGUAAUAAUUAUCAAUCAAAGCACAAGAAUUAA
Bombus huntii is the source of this 1325-nucleotide long non-coding RNA. RefSeq lists it as uncharacterized. Lineage: Eukaryota; Metazoa; Arthropoda; Insecta; Hymenoptera; Apidae. The transcript is spliced from 5 exons. The record is from RefSeq and is a predicted model, not a curated record.